This 504-nucleotide ribosomal RNA is filed under the name uncultured bacterium. RNAcentral's name for it is "bacterial SSU rRNA". It matches the Rfam family "Bacterial small subunit ribosomal RNA", at positions 8 to 507 of the family's 1533-position model. The record is from RNAcentral.
AGAGUUUGAUCCUGGCUCAGAUUGAACGCUGGCGGCAUGCGUAACACAUGCAAGUCGAACGGUGUUUGGUGCUUGCACCAGACAUAGUGGCGGACGGGUGAGUAAUGCGUAGGAAUCUGUCUUAGAGAGGGGGACAACCCGAGGAAACUUGGGCUAAAACCGCAUAUUCUCGAGAGAGGAAAGCAGGGGACCGGAAACGGCCUUGUGCUCUAAGGUGAGCCUACGUCGGAUUAGCUAGUUGGUAGGGUAAAAGCCUACCAAGGCGAUGAUCUGUAGCUGGUCUGAGAGGACGGACAGCCACACUGGGACUGAGACACGGCCCAGACUCCUACGGGAGGCAGCAGUGGGGAAUAUUGGACAAUGGGGGGAACCCUGAUCCAGCGAUGCCGCGUGUGUGAAGAAGGCCUGCGGGUUGUAAAGCACUUUCAGUGGGAAAGAGAAGCGUCUUGUGAAUAAUGGGACGUGGAGACGUUACUCACAGAAGAAGCACCGGCUAACUCUGUG